RNAcentral lists this unclassified non-coding RNA (335 nucleotides) under soil metagenome. Its description in RNAcentral is "partial contains 5.8S ribosomal RNA, internal transcribed spacer 2, and large subunit ribosomal RNA". The stretch from base 1 to 120 matches the Rfam family "5.8S ribosomal RNA", at positions 35 to 154 of the family's 154-position model. The record is from RNAcentral.
GAUGAAGAACGUAGCGAAAUGCGAUAAGUAAUGUGAAUUGCAGAAUUCAGUGAAUCAUCGAAUCUUUGAACGCACAUUGCGCCCGCCAGUAUUCUGGCGGGCAUGCCUGGUCGAGCGUCAUUUCAACCAUCAAGCCCCAGGCUUGUGUUGGGGACCUGCGGCUGCCGCAGGCCCUGAAAACCAGUGGCGGGCUCGCUGUCACACCGGGCGUAGUAGAUUUUAUCUCGCUCAGGGCGUGCUGCGGGUUCCGGCCGUUAAAAAGCCUUUUUUACCCAAGGUUGACCUCGGAUCAGGUAGGAAGACCCGCUGAACUUAAGCAUACAAUAAGCGGAGGA